RNAcentral lists this ribosomal RNA (253 nucleotides) under uncultured bacterium. Its description in RNAcentral is "partial 16S ribosomal RNA". It matches the Rfam family "Bacterial small subunit ribosomal RNA", at positions 524 to 776 of the family's 1533-position model. The record is from RNAcentral.
UACGUAGGCAGCAAGCGUUGUUCGGAGUUACUGGGCGUAAGGGGUGUGUAGGCGGUUCUUUAAGUUUGGUGUGAAAUCUCCCGGCUCAACUGGGAGGGUGCGCCGAAUACUGAGGGACUAGAGUACGGGAGAGGAAAGUGGAAUUCCUGGUGUAGCGGUGAAAUGCGUAGAUAUCAGGAGGAACACCGGUGGUGUAGACGGCUUUCUGGACCGACACUGACGCUGAGACACGAAAGCGUGGGUAGCAAACAGG